This 76-nucleotide transfer RNA is filed under the name Hydrogenobacter thermophilus TK-6. RNAcentral describes it as "tRNA-Ala (GGC) (tRNA-Ala-GGC-1-1)". It matches the Rfam family "tRNA". Rfam says of the family: Transfer RNA (tRNA) molecules are approximately 80 nucleotides in length. Their secondary structure includes four short double-helical elements and three loops (D, anti-codon, and T loops). RNAcentral also lists the same sequence under 7 other names. The record is from RNAcentral. Lineage: Bacteria; Pseudomonadati; Aquificota; Aquificia; Aquificales; Aquificaceae.
GGGGCGGUAGCUCAGUUGGGAGAGCGCCUGCUUGGCGUGUAGGAGGUCGGGGGUUCAAGUCCCCUCCGCUCCACCA